This 2254-nucleotide long non-coding RNA is filed under the name Salvia miltiorrhiza (redroot sage). RNAcentral describes it as "long non-coding RNA (SMIL_LNC002572)". Lineage: Eukaryota; Viridiplantae; Streptophyta; Magnoliopsida; Lamiales; Lamiaceae. The record is from RNAcentral.
UACAAGCCAAAACCCUUAAAUAAUAAGGAUAAUUAGAAUUUUUAAUAUUAUUUAUAAUUAAUUAAAAUAAUAAUGAUUAGAGAUGACCUCACUGUGCAUUCGCGCGCACAUCACAUAAUGCUAUAUUGUAUAUUGACACUCGUUUAAAGAAAAACUAUAGUAUAUAAUAAGUAGCACAUAUGUUGCAAUCAAAAUCAAAGAAUACCUAACAUACCAAUGUAAUGUAUUCACUUACACAUUCCAUUUUCGGAUAACAAAACAUUUUGGUAUUAUUCCAUUGUCACACUGAAUAACAAAUCAAGGUCAAGUUUGACAUUGAUUUGUCUGUUGUUUACACGCAAAAAACACUUAAUAAUUAAACACCAUCAUAAUUAAAUCUCAUACAAUUACUUAAAUUGGGCCAUACUUCAGUAAAAUGAAAAUAUAAACUGUAAUAGAAAAACCAUUAAAAAAAUCAUACUAAUUAAGGUUGUUGUAUGAGUAGGGAUGGCAAUCUACCCGCGGGUAACGGAUAUCCGCAAAAACCCGAACCUAUUAGGGUGGGUUUGGAUACCAUUUGAUAUCCAUGGAUAAUUUCGUGGUUGCAAUUCACUAUCCAUUUAGUUCGUGGGUAUGAGUUUGGAUACUUACUAUCCAUACCCGUGAAACCCGUUUACCCGCGAAAAAUACCCGUCAAUUAUCCGUGAAUUACCCGUCAAAUAUCCACAAAAAAUUCCAUAAAAUAUGGGCUUUGAAUAUAUAUUUUGAGAUUAUGGGCUAGCAUAUUAUAUCUUAGAAUAGGCCCAAACAGAAACUGAACUAAGACCCAAAUUCUAAUAGUCUAAUUUAAAUUUGAAUUUUGCUGAACAAUUAUAGAAUUUUGUUGGAUUUUAUAUUUUAGUUGAUGAAUUUGAAUUUAAACAUUGUUCUUUGUGGAUUUCAACAUAUGGAUUUGAACUAUGUUAUUUGUGUUGAUUUUUUUUCUAUUAAAUUUGUUGUAAAUUUAUAUUUAAAUUUUGUUUCGUGAGUAUCCGACGAAUAAUAGGUGGCGGGUAUCCGGCGAAUAGCGGGUGACGGAUACCCGCCGAAUAGCGGGUUCGUGGAUACCCGACGGGUAGUGGGUUUGGAUACCAUUUGAUAUCCAUGGAUAGUUUCGUGGUUAAAACCACUAUCUAUUUAGUUCGUGAGUAUGAGUAUGGAUACCCGUCGUACCCGAUUGUCAUCCCUAUGUAUGAGGGAAGCAUAUAUAUUUUUUAUGUAAUAAUUAAAUUUAAAAAAUAUAUUACGAUAUAUUCACUACAAGAUAUUUGAUCUCACGUAUUAACCACUUUGCCAAUAAAUCAAUGGAAGGAUAAUGAGUGAAGCAUAUUCAACACCAUAUAAAGUUUAUUAGUAUUACUAGUGGCCUACUUUUUGUAAAUAUUAAUUGAUUGGAGAAAUUUCAAAGCAACCAAAAUGUUAAUCAGGUAAAGACUGGUGUAGGGUUCCUCUCUCACUAACUCGCUUCUGUUAGAUCAAACCUGCAGCCUGCCAGCCAGCUAUAUUAUUAUUAUUAUAUAAUCGUAAUAUAUCAAGCCGAAAUUAUUUGUAAUAUUUUUCUGUGCCCAAUUCGUAAUUCGACUUAAUUAAAUAUAAAAACUUUUUAAUGAUAAAACGUCAUAAUCCACAAAUUGUCAUUAUUGAUUUUGCGAUGAAGCAUAUAAGAUGCAAUUAUGCAAACCCCGCAAGCUGUGAAGGGAAAACUAAGUAACACCUAAUUAAGUAUAUUAUUUAUAUAUACAACAAAGGCUCACAUAAAUGUGUGAAUAAACAUAUUAAUAUAAUAUUAUAUUAAUUUGGCAGAAAAUUAAUAUAAAGCAUCAAAAUCCAAUUUAGUAGAAAAUUCAUCAAAAUCAAAAAAUUAACUUUGAAGGCACCUUUCAAAUUUGAGAGAGAGAGAAUGAGGAGAAUCGGCAGGGGGCUAGGCGGCGGCAGACAAAAGCAGGGGACUCCGGCGGACGGCGGGGUGAACGGGACAGAUAUGAAACUAUACAAAUUUGAGAGAGAGAAAGGGGGAGAUGGAGAGAGAGCGAGAUGGAGAGAGAACUAAUGGUGAAUGUCGAGGGAAUGAGAAGCAGCAGAUCGACUCCGGCAGGGGGCGAGCAGCGGCGGCGGGAUCCGGCAGCAAUUGAAUUUGGGUGAACUGAACUCAAUUUGGGGGAAUGGUGUAGGGAAAUUGAAUUUGGGGAUACUAUUCAACAAUAUUCUCAACGGUUUAAUGACGGAAAAUCGAAAU